GCGGAGGGAUCAUUGCUGGAACGCGCCCCGGCGCACCCAGAAACCCUUUGUGAACUUAUACCUUAUUGUUGCCUCGGCGAAGGCCGGCCUCUCCUCCUGAGGCCCCCCGGAGACGGGGAGCAGCCCGCCGGCGGCCAACCAAACUCUUGUUUCUUAGUGAAUCUCUGAGUAAAAAAACAUAAAUGAAUCAAAACUUUCAACAACGGAUCUCUUGGUUCUGGCAUCGAUGAAGAACGCAGCGAAAUGCGAUAAGUAAUGUGAAUUGCAGAAUUCAGUGAAUCAUCGAAUCUUUGAACGCACAUUGCGCCCUCUGGUAUUCCGGAGGGCAUGCCUGUUCGAGCGUCAUUUCAACCCUCAAGCCUGGCUUGGUGUUGGGGCGCUGCUCCGAGAGGAGCAGGCCCUGAAAUCUAGUGGCGAGCUCGCUAGGACCCCGAGCGUAGUAGUUUAUAUCUCGUUCUGGAAGGCCCUGGCGGCGCCCUGCCGUUAAACCCCCAACUUCUGAAAUUUUGACCUCGGAUCAGG
Molecule: ribosomal RNA, 522 nt
Filed under: fungal endophyte
Lineage: Eukaryota; Fungi
Description: eukaryotic LSU rRNA
Rfam family: 5.8S ribosomal RNA (bases 192-345)
Source: RNAcentral